AUUUGUGGUACACCAAACCCAUGUAACACUAACCCUGUUAACACCAGAUGAAAAUGUACAGAAAAUUAUGCUGUAACAAAUAGGUUGCAACAAAAAGAACUAAGAGAGAAAGAAUAGCAGCCUGAUUCCUCUAAUCAAGUUGAAGAUCAGCAGCAUAACAAAGAGCGGCCCCAUCAAGCUAUCCCAGCAUCUCUAGAAUGGCAUAAACUUUGCACUGUUGAAAGAAGUAGUAUUGAUAGCAACAACUUCUAAGGGUGAUCUUCUCAAUUGAACAUCAAUAAAAAUCGGCAAAAAAGAAAGGAACCAAACUGAAUGUUACUGUUUUUUAACACACAACAUUGCAUCAAAACAACAUAUUUUCAAUUUAACAUGUAUGAAAAUAAAAGUCAGAACCAAAUCAUUUACUGUUUAUACAAAUGAUUUGUUAGAGAAAUUCAAGGUUGUUUUUUUAUUUAUAUCAAACUGUUUCUUCCUAUGUGUGUUAUUGAAUGAAUUAUGAAGGAGUUGCCUCAACAUGUUAAAUUUUGAGAAAAUGCAAGUCAUGUUGACUAUCCUUGAACUUCUUUUAGCAAGUCUUUUUUAAGCACAUCGUUCCUGUUCUUGUUUUGAACAAAGUAGGUAUAAAAAAAAAUUAAGAGAGAACCUCAAAACAAAAUCUGGCUAAACCACAACAACUUCAAACACAAAUCUAAAAACAUGAGUAAGUGCCUAAAGCUCAGACCGAAUCCUAGCAAUGCAUCAAACUUCCUAACCUUUGCACUAGAAACGUACCAAAAUUCAAUAUGUGGACUAAUGCUUCCGCAAUUUCCUAGUCCACUGCAUUGUCUAUUUCUCGAAUGCAGCUACGAAGCUUAAUCCACCGCAUCAUGGGUAAUGAGAUACCUGAAAACAAGUAUAAAAUUUCAUUUCAAUUCAACAUGGCCUCAUCCAACUAGUAAGACAUCAUAUUAGCACAUAUGGAUAGAGCACCAAGCAUAUCAUGCACUACUACUACCUAUAUUGUUAAUCUCAAAUAGCACCGAGUGAAACUGACAAAGGCGCUUCGAGGGCCUUGGGUGGGACAGUGGGGGAUGUGUGACUAUGCCACACCGCCAUAGCACGCUACUAACAUCAUAGAGAACAUUUAGAGUAUGUUCAAUGACCAAACAAUUACUAAUAAUCACAAUCUAUUUUAUUAAAUAUUUCAUCAAUCACCUGAUAUAAAAAUAAAUAAACAACCCAUCAUAAAAUUUCAUAAACAACGAAGACGCCCUUCUUGACAGAUUCAUCACAAACAAGUAAUUGAGGAGAAAACUGAGAAAAUGAAUACCUUUUCUGUCAUUCUUCCGGAUGCCUUCUUCAAAGUAACAUUCGCGAAUGUCGAUCCAAAUUUGUUUCUUCCAAGACUUCACGCAAACCAUCUUGUGUCCAUCUUUUGAGGAACCAAGAUCACAGACAACGAUUUCGUCGUCGGGAUCAGAUUUCGUCCAUCUUUUGAGUGCAUAUUCAGAAUCCGAUCCCGACGACGAAAUCGUUGUCUUUGAUCUUGGUUCCUCAAAAGAUGGACACAAGAUAGUUUGCGUGAAAUCUUGGAAGAAACAAAUUCGGAUCGACAUUCUCGAGAAUGUCGCUUUGAAGAUGGCAUUCGUAAGAAUGGUAGAAAAGGUAUUUCAAUUCAUUUUCUCAGUUUUCUCCUCAAUUACUUGUUUGUGAUGAAUCUGUCAAGUAGGGCGUCUUCAUUGUUUAUGAAAUUUUAUGAUGGGUUGUUUAUUUAUUUUUAUAUCAGGUGAUUGAUGAAAUAUUUAAUAGAAUAGAUUGUGAUUAUUAGUAACUGUUUGCUCAUUGAACAUACUUUAAAUGUUGUCUAUUGUUAGUAGCGUGCUAUGGCGGUGUGGCAUAGUCACACAUCCCCCACUGUCCCACCCAAGGCCCUCGAAGCGCCUUUGUCAGUUUCACUCGGUGCUAUUUGAGAUUAACAAUAUAGGUAGUAGUAGUGCAUGAUAUGCUUGGUGCUCGAUCCAUAUGUACUAUAUGUGCUAAUAUGAUGUCUUACUAGUUGGAUAAGGCCAUCUUGAAUUGAAAUGAAGAAUUUGCAAUGAAAUUUUAUACUUGUUUUCAGGUAUCUCAUUACCCAUGAUGCAGUGGAUUCGAGAAAUAGACAAUGCAGUGGACAAAGAACUUAGGAAAUUGCGGAAGCAUUAGUCCACAUAUUGAAUUUUGGUACGUUUCUAGUGCGAAGGUUAGGAAGUUUGAUGCAUUGCUAGGAUUCGGUCUGAGCUUUAGGCACCCCCUCAUGUUUUUAUAUUUGUGUUUGAAGUUGUUGUGGUUUAGCCAGAUUUUGUUUUGAGGUUCUCUCCUAAUUUUUUAUACUUACUUUGUUCAAAACAAGAACAGGAAGGAUGUGCUUAAAAAAGACUUGCUAAAAGAAGUUCAAGGAUAGUCAACAUGACUUGCAUUUUCUCAAAAUUUUCAACAUGUUGAGGCAACUCCUUCAUAAUUCAUUCAAUAACACACAUAGGAAGAAACAGUUUGAUAUAAAUAAAAAAACAACCUUGAAUUUCUCUAACAAAUCAUUUGUAUAAACAGUAAAGUGCAAAGUUGUGUGUUAAAAUAGAAAAGGAUUAUAGCAGAGGAAGGGACAAAUCAACAAAGUAAAGUGUCAAACCAGUCCAGAAUUCUUAUAUGCUUCAUACUCACUCCUGAUACAGAUCAACAAAAACUUGACACUUGCAAGAAACCAUAAGAGGACACCGCUAGAAAAUUACCAUUUUUAUCCCAAGGCUGAAUGGAACCUCGCUUCCUGCCACAUUUAUAGGUUUCUCCUCCGUAUCACACACAUAAAACUCAAAUACAGGAGUCCUUGGGCCACUGUAAUGAAGAUGACAUCUUCAUAAAUUACAAAUAUCAAUGAAAACUACGUUGAUCAUAGAAACAAGAUAAGUAGUACAAACAAAAGGACAGAGACACUCAUCUCCGCCAAUUUCUCCCUAAGUUCAGAUCGCCAAAUUAAUCCUAGCAACAGUUGAAAACAUAAAUCAUGUUGUUAAUUAGUUGACAGAAGAUAAGUAGUACAAAUGGAGGCACUCCACCAAUUUCUCGCUAAAUUCAGAUUGCCAAAUCAAUCCUAGCAAUAGACUAAAACGUAUAUCAAAUCAUGUAUUAAUUAGUUGACAGAAGUUAAGUAGUACAAAAGAUAGAGGCACUCAUCUCCACCAAUUUCUCCCCAAGUCCAGAUUGCCAAAUCAAUCCUAGCAACAGUUGAAAUUUUAUGUCAAGUCACGUAUUCUUGUUAAUUACGUAUAUCAAAUCAUUUAUCCUUGUUAAUUAGUUGACAGAAGAUAAAUAGUACAAAGGAAAGAGGCACUAAUCACCAAUUUCUCCCUAUGUUCAGAUUGGCAACUCAAUCCUAUCAACAGUCGAAAGUCUAUAUCAAAUCAAAUAUCCUUUUUAUAAGUAAGUAGCACAAACCAAUUUCUCCAUUUCAGAAGGAAAACUUAAAAGUGAAAUGUGAUUGGAGACUUCUGUUGCACUUCAAACCUAUGUAACACUUAACCAUGACAAACAGACGGAAGAUAGUUUAAAUCUCCAAACCAAGCCGUUGUUAGACAUAUCAGAACUCCAGCUAUGUUUCCAAGUUCCACAAAACAUAACUGUUACCUAUUACUCAAACCUUAAACACAAAACAACAUCUGUUGACGAUUAAUAAUACUUGCUGUAACAUAGAAAUUAGAGAACAAUCAAUUAUAACCCAAACAAACUAAACAAUCAGAUCAUUACAUAAGAACUGCAAACAUCAGUCUACCAAAGAAUCAACCAUAAAAGAAUAACAUGAGGAUCAAACAAGAGAAUGAUAGAUAGAAUCGUAAGAAAUCAUACAUAGAUUAUUGCUCCUGCAACACCAAAGAGUAACUAAUCAAGAAAUAUUCACUCUCAGAGUAGUUAAAGAAAUAUUGAAAACAAAUAGAUUAUGAUAGAUAUCACCAAAUAAAUACACUAGGCUCUAUGCUGCGAAGGAAGUCAUCGGUUUGACAAACCGUGCUGCAGACAAAAAUGUUCAAAAUUCAAUGUUUAUAAAUACACUAGGCUCUAUGCCUUGCUAUCAAAUCCCANGAAGUCAUCGGUUUGACAAACCGUGCUGCAGACAAAAAUGUUCAAAAUUCAAUGUUUAUAAAUACACUAGGCUCUAUGCCUUGCUAUCAAAUCCCAAAAAAAUUUAAAUAAUAAAGGACUCAUUAAAGAAAAAUCGUGUUCCCCCGUUCUUGUCCAUUACAUCAAGUCUCCUAGAUUUCAAGACUUCCCUGCUAACAGUACAACGGAUAAACGAAUCUUCGAUUAUCAAAGGAAGACUUAUAUCGAAAAAUAACAUAAAUAGAAAGAAAGAAAAGAAAAACAUGACAGAGUGUGAAAUAUAUGCUCUCAGUAGCAUUGAAGGGAUGAAUUUACUAGAUAGAGAUCACCAGAAAAAUACUCAAGGCUCCAUACUCAGAAGGACUUAGACACACCAAGCUGCAGAAAAAGCAUGUUCACAGUUCAACUCUUCUCAUAAUCAAUAGCUUGAUAUUAAAAACAAAUAAAGAAUGAAUCACUGAAGAAAUUUGAUUUAUCUAUUUGAAGCCACUCUGUUCAUAUCCGUUGUGUCAAGAAUCGUAAAAUGUUUCUAGUUUUCAAGAAUUCUGCCACCUGCUGCAAAAUGGUUAAACAUAUAUCUCGAUUAUCUAAUUUAACGAAAGUAAGAAAACCUAAAUGAGAUUACAUCAAAGCAGAGUCUCAAUUUCUCCAAAAUUGUGUAAACUAUCACACUGUCAGAUUACAUCAAAAACCAAAAUUUAAGGAAUCAGCAGUAUGAUGGUGUUAGAAAACCUAAAGUUGAACUUCUGAGAUAUAACCAAGAGGAAGAUCAAUAGAACCAGAGUAUGUUCAACGAUCACUUCUCCUGCAACAUGGAAGAGUAAAUAACAAAAAAAAAAAACAAAAAAAAAAAAGGAAAUAGGGUGUCAAUAAUUUUUUUUUAUAAAAUGUGAAGAAUUUAAUAGAGAUCACCGAAUAAAAAUGCUAGGCUCCAUGCCAUGAAGACAACUAUGCUGCAGGAAAAUAUGUUCAAAAUUCAAUUCGUACGUCUUGCAAUUGAAUGCCAGAAAUUAAAAUAAUAAAGAAUGGCUCAAUAAAGAAAUUUGAUAUUUAUCUAUCUGGAGCUGUUGUUCUUUUCAGGUGUAUAAAAACUUUCUAGAUAAUGCAGACUUUACAGCUCACUGCAAGAUGGAUAAAUGCAUCGCCAGAUUAUCAAAUGAAGAAUUAUAUCCCAAAAAAUACAGAGACAUGUUUUGAUAACGAAUUUGUAAACAAAGAGUCAAGAGAAGAGUUAAAAUUCAUGACAUCUAUGCUCACGUUUAGCAGGAGAACCCUGAAAUCGAGCAAUCAUGGAGCAAACAGGUUAAGAAAACCAGAAACGAAAGAAAGUUUGAACAAGAAUAAACAAACUUCAGAAUCAAGAAAUCGGAAUCAUAUCCUCUCAUGUAACACCAAAAAGUAAAUUAACANCGGAAAAGAUUCUUAUUCUCAUAUAUCACAGAUAACAAAAAGAAUGGCAGAUUUCGAGAACAAAUAAACUCCAAACCAGGCGAUUCAGAAUAAAUAGUAUGUUAACCUUUGGCUUCCACAGACCACAGCAGACCAAAUAUUCAUAGUCUGUUCAAAAGAACAGAGGGAAGUUGAAGAGUCUCAAACAAAGACAGUUAUCUUCAAUUUCUCCACUUUCCAGACACUAUUGAAAAGGUGCAGUGUGAUUGAGAAAGAAUUAACAUUUGUGGUACACCAAACCCAUGUAACACUAACCCUGUUAACACCAGAUGAAAAUGUACAGAAAAUUAUGCUGUAACAAAUAGGUUGCAACAAAAAGAACUAAGAGAGAAAGAAUAGCAGCCUGAUUCCUCUAAUCAAGUUGAAGAUCAGCAGCAUAACAAAGAGCGGCCCCAUCAAGCUAUCCCAGCAUCUCUAGAAUGGCAUAAACUUUGCACUGUUGAAAGAAGUAGUAUUGAUAGCAACAACUUCUAAGGGUGAUCUUCUCAAUUGAACAUCAAUAAAAAUCGGCAAAAAAGAAAGGAACCAAACUGAAUGUUACUGUUUUUUAACACACAACAUUGCAUCAAAACAACAUAUUUUCAAUUUAACAUGUAUGAAAAUAAAAGUCAGAACCAAAUCAUUUACUGUUUAUACAAAUGAUUUGUUAGAGAAAUUCAAGGUUGUUUUUUUAUUUAUAUCAAACUGUUUCUUCCUAUGUGUGUUAUUGAAUGAAUUAUGAAGGAGUUGCCUCAACAUGUUAAAUUUUGAGAAAAUGCAAGUCAUGUUGACUAUCCUUGAACUUCUUUUAGCAAGUCUUUUUUAAGCACAUCCUUCCUGUUCUUGUUUUGAACAAAGUAGGUAUAAAAAAAAAUUAAGAGAGAACCUCAAAACAAAAUCUGGCUAAACCACAACAACUUCAAACACAAAUCUAAAAACAUGAGUUAGUGCCUAAAGCUCAGACCGAAUCCUAGCAAUGCAUCAAACUUCCUAACCUUUGCACUAGAAACGUACCAAAAUUCAAUAUGUGGACUAAUGCUUCCGCAAUUUCCUAGUCCACUGCAUUGUCUAUUUCUCGAAUGCAGCUACGAAGCUUAAUCCACCGCAUCAUGGGUAAUGAGAUACCUGAAAACAAGUAUAAAAUUUCAUUUCAAUUCAACAUGGCCUCAUCCAACUAGUAAGACAUCAUAUUAGCACAUAUGGAUAGAGCACCAAGCAUAUCAUGCACUACUACUACCUAUAUUGUUAAUCUCAAAUAGCACCGAGUGAAACUGACAAAGGCGCUUCGAGGGCCUUGGGUGGGACAGUGGGGGAUGUGUGACUAUGCCACACCGCCAUAGCACGCUACUAACAUCAUAGAGAACAUUUAGAGUAUGUUCAAUGACCAAACAAUUACUAAUAAUCACAAUCUAUUUUAUUAAAUAUUUCAUCAAUCACCUGAUAUAAAAAUAAAUAAACAACCCAUCAUAAAAUUUCAUAAACAACGAAGACGCCCUUCUUGACAGAUUCAUCACAAACAAGUAAUUGAGGAGAAAACUGAGAAAAUGAAUACCUUUUCUGUCAUUCUUCCGGAUGCCUUCUUCAAAGUAACAUUCGCGAAUGUCGAUCCAAAUUUGUUUCUUCCAAGACUUCACGCAAACCAUCUUGUGUCCAUCUUUUGAGGAACCAAGAUCACAGACAACGAUUUCGUCGUCGGGAUCAGAUUUCGUCCAUCUUUUGAGUGCAUAUUCAGAAUCCGAUCCCGACGACGAAAUCGUUGUCUUUGAUCUUGGUUCCUCAAAAGAUGGACACAAGAUAGUUUGCGUGAAAUCUUGGAAGAAACAAAUUCGGAUCGACAUUCUCGAGAAUGUCGCUUUGAAGAUGGCAUUCGUAAGAAUGGUAGAAAAGGUAUUUCAAUUCAUUUUCUCAGUUUUCUCCUCAAUUACUUGUUUGUGAUGAAUCUGUCAAGUAGGGCGUCUUCAUUGUUUAUGAAAUUUUAUGAUGGGUUGUUUAUUUAUUUUUAUAUCAGGUGAUUGAUGAAAUAUUUAAUAGAAUAGAUUGUGAUUAUUAGUAACUGUUUGCUCAUUGAACAUACUUUAAAUGUUGUCUAUUGUUAGUAGCGUGCUAUGGCGGUGUGGCAUAGUCACACAUCCCCCACUGUCCCACCCAAGGCCCUCGAAGCGCCUUUGUCAGUUUCACUCGGUGCUAUUUGAGAUUAACAAUAUAGGUAGUAGUAGUGCAUGAUAUGCUUGGUGCUCGAUCCAUAUGUACUAUAUGUGCUAAUAUGAUGUCUUACUAGUUGGAUAAGGCCAUCUUGAAUUGAAAUGAAGAAUUUGCAAUGAAAUUUUAUACUUGUUUUCAGGUAUCUCAUUACCCAUGAUGCAGUGGAUUCGAGAAAUAGACAAUGCAGUGGACAAAGAACUUAGGAAAUUGCGGAAGCAUUAGUCCACAUAUUGAAUUUUGGUACGUUUCUAGUGCGAAGGUUAGGAAGUUUGAUGCAUUGCUAGGAUUCGGUCUGAGCUUUAGGCACCCCCUCAUGUUUUUAUAUUUGUGUUUGAAGUUGUUGUGGUUUAGCCAGAUUUUGUUUUGAGGUUCUCUCCUAAUUUUUUAUACUUACUUUGUUCAAAACAAGAACAGGAAGGAUGUGCUUAAAAAAGACUUGCUAAAAGAAGUUCAAGGAUAGUCAACAUGACUUGCAUUUUCUCAAAAUUUUCAACAUGUUGAGGCAACUCCUUCAUAAUUCAUUCAAUAACACACAUAGGAAGAAACAGUUUGAUAUAAAUAAAAAAACAACCUUGAAUUUCUCUAACAAAUCAUUUGUAUAAACAGUAAAGUGCAAAGUUGUGUGUUAAAAUAGAAAAGGAUUAUAGCAGAGGAAGGGACAAAUCAACAAAUUAAAGUGCCAAACCAGUCCAGAAUUCAACAAAUUAAAGUGCCAAACCAGUCCAGAAUUCUUAUAUGCUUCAUACUCACUCCUGAUACAGAUCAACAAAAACUUGACACUUGCAAGAAACCAUCAGAGGACACCGCUAGAAAUUACCAUUUUUAUCCCAAGGCUGAAUGGAACCUCGCUUCUUGCCACAUUUAUAGGUUUCUCCUUCGUAUCACACACAUAAAACUCAAAUACAGAGGAGUCCUUGGGCCACUGUAAUGAAGAGGACAUCUUCAUAAAUUACAAAUAUCAAUGAAAACUACGUUGAUCAUAGAAACAAGAUAAGUAGUACAAACAAAAGGACAGAGACACUCAUCUCCGCCAAUUUCUCCCUAAGUUUAGAUCGCCAAAUAAAUCCUAGCAACAGUUGAAAACAUAAAUCAUGUUGUUAAUUAGUUGACAGAAGAUAAGUAGUACAAAUGGAGGCACUCAACUCCACCAAUUUCUCGCUAAAUUCAGAUUGCCAAAUCAAUCCUAGCAAUAGACGAAAACGUAUAUCAAAUCAUGUAUUAAUUAGUUGACAGAAGUUAAGUAGUACAAAAGAU
This 8991-nucleotide long non-coding RNA is filed under the name Medicago truncatula (barrel medic). RNAcentral's name for it is "long non-coding RNA (MTRU_LNC006149)". The record is from RNAcentral. Lineage: Eukaryota; Viridiplantae; Streptophyta; Magnoliopsida; Fabales; Fabaceae.